CAGCAGCCACGGGAAUACGAAGGGUGCAAGCGUUACUCGGAAUUACUGGGCGUAAAGCGUGCGUAGGUGGUGGUUUAAGUCCGUUGUGAAAGCCCUGGGCUCAACCUGGGAAUUGCAGUGGAUACUGGGUCACUAGAGUGUGGUAGAGGAUAGUGGAAUUUCCGGUGUAGCAGUGAAAUGCGUAGAGAUCGGAAGGAACAUCUGUGGCGAAGGCGACUAUCUGGGCCAACACUGACACUGAGGCACGAAAGCAUGGGGAGCAAACAGGAUUAGAUACCCCAGUAGUCCCUGUCUCUUAUAA
RNAcentral lists this ribosomal RNA (301 nucleotides) under uncultured bacterium. RNAcentral describes it as "partial 16S ribosomal RNA". It matches the Rfam family "Bacterial small subunit ribosomal RNA", at positions 509 to 809 of the family's 1533-position model. The record is from RNAcentral.